This is a long non-coding RNA of Dicentrarchus labrax (European seabass), 304 nucleotides long. RefSeq lists it as uncharacterized. The record is from RefSeq and is a predicted model, not a curated record. Lineage: Eukaryota; Metazoa; Chordata; Actinopteri; Moronidae. The transcript is spliced from 2 exons.
GUUAAACUAAAUAAACACGUUAACAAUUUGAGGCUCGGUUAAUAAUAGCUGUAUUGUUGCCAAACCGUUAGCCAGAAUAUUGUACACCGUUACCGUUACAGCAACCAGCUAGCCAAUAUGGCUGGUACUCAACCUAACAAGCAUCCAGUGAUGUUAAACGAAACAUUAACAGACAGAGCAACGCUAGCUAGCUACCUUAUGGAGCUGAUGCCCACGUUGACCAAAGGGAAGCAACUUUCCAGCUGUGACUCUACAGCAGUCAGGCUUUUAUUUUUAAGGGAAGAAAAAAAAAAAAAAAAACAAA